Molecule: unclassified non-coding RNA, 792 nt
Filed under: Pinguicula lusitanica
Lineage: Eukaryota; Viridiplantae; Streptophyta; Magnoliopsida; Lamiales; Lentibulariaceae
Description: partial contains tRNA-Leu (trnL) gene and trnL-trnF spacer region
Source: RNAcentral
AGCUGAGCUAUCCGACCAUUCCAGCGUAGUAUCCCAUCCUCGUUUUAUUAGUUUAUUAGAUGACUGGGGUCUAUGUCAAUUAAARGGACAAGGAGGAUUACAGAGUUUUCUCCAAGUCCUGUAUUUUCUUGGAUCUUCAAAAAAAGACGACUUUAUAAGUUUCAGUAUUAGUAAUAUUAAAUCAAAUGGGUAUUCUUUGCUAAAUUUGGAUGUGCAUUCUAUAUCACAUGGGAUACGAGAAAGUCAUUAAGAUAAAGGAAUUUGUAACCGCAGGGGGUAGGAGAAAAAUUUUGGGAGUCAAAUAGGCUUUUUUGGGGAUAGAGGGACUUGAACCCUCACGAUUUUUAAAGUCGACGGAUUUUCCUCUUACUAUAAAUGCAUUGUUGCCGGUAUUGACAUGUAGAAUGGGACUCUAUCUUUAUUCUUGUCCGAUUGAUCAGUUCGUUAAAAGGUAUAUCGGACUAUGGAGUGAAUGGUUUGAUGAAUAAAUAUUUGAUUUCUUCAAUGUGGAAUCAAUUCACACCAAUUCUUCCAUUUUUAAUAUAAAAAAAUAUAGUAUUCAAUAGAUAUUUUCCCUUUUCCUCUCUGAAGUUUCGGCGGAAAUAUUUUCUUACCCUCGCGGUCAACCCCAUUUGUUAGAACAGCUUCCCUUGAGUUUUUGACCCAUCCCUUUUUUUUUUUUCGUUUUCGGAACCUUUCUUUUGAGAAAACAGGAUUUGGCUCAGGAUUGCCCAUUUUUAUUAAUUCCGGGGUUUCUCUAAUUGAAAGUUAUCACUUAGUAGGUUCCCAUAC